Molecule: ribosomal RNA, 742 nt
Filed under: uncultured bacterium
Lineage: Bacteria
Description: bacterial SSU rRNA
Rfam family: Bacterial small subunit ribosomal RNA
Source: RNAcentral
GCAGUCGACGCUUCUUUCCUCCCGAGUGCUUGCACUCAAUUGGAAAGAGGAGUGGCGGACGGGUGAGUAACACGUGGGUAACCUACCCAUCAGAGGGGGAUAACACUUGGAAACAGGUGCUAAUACCGCAUAACAGUUUAUGCCGCAUGGCAUAAGAGUGAAAGGCGCUCUCGGGUGUCGCUGAUGGAUGGACCCGCGGUGCAUUAGCUAGUUGGUGAGGUAACGGCUCACCAAGGCCACGAUGCAUAGCCGACCUGAGAGGGUGAUCGGCCACACUGGGACUGAGACACGGCCCAGACUCCUACGGGAGGCAGCAGUAGGGAAUCUUCGGCAAUGGACGAAAGUCUGACCGAGCAACGCCGCGUGAGUGAAGAAGGUUUUCGGAUCGUAAAACUCUGUUGUUAGAGAAGAACAAGGACGUUAGUAACUGAACGUCCCCUGACGGUAUCUAACCAGAAAGCCACGGCUAACUACGUGCCAGCAGCCGCGGUAAUACGUAGGUGGCAAGCGUUGUCCGGAUUUAUUGGGCGUAAAGCGAGCGCAGGCGGUUUCUUAAGUCUGAUGUGAAAGCCCCCGGCUCAACCGGGGAGGGUCAUUGGAAACUGGGAGACUUGAGUGCAGAAGAGGAGAGUGGAAUUCCAUGUGUAGCGGUGAAAUGCGUAGAUAUAUGGAGGAACACCAGUGGCGAAGGCGGCUCUCUGGUCUGUAACUGACGCUGAGGCUCGAAAGCGUGGGGAGCAAA